This 159-nucleotide ribosomal RNA is filed under the name Triticum aestivum (bread wheat). RNAcentral's name for it is "partial small subunit ribosomal RNA". Lineage: Eukaryota; Viridiplantae; Streptophyta; Magnoliopsida; Poales; Poaceae. The record is from RNAcentral.
AUGGGGAUCCGGUGUCUUCAUCUAUACCAUCAGAGAAGAAGGCUUGCCAAGAAUGGACGAAGGUAUGAUUCUAGGAAAUCUAGAUUUGAAAGAAGGAAGCACCUGAGGAGCAAUCAAACGGACAUUUCUACAAGUGAACUCUCUCAAUCCAGGAACUAG